This 328-nucleotide ribosomal RNA is filed under the name uncultured eukaryote. Its description in RNAcentral is "partial 18S ribosomal RNA". It matches the Rfam family "Eukaryotic small subunit ribosomal RNA", at positions 1470 to 1796 of the family's 1831-position model. The record is from RNAcentral.
CCCUUAGAUGUUCUGGGCUGCACGCGCGCUACACUGAUGCACUCAACGAGUUUACGACCUUGCCCGAUAGGGUUGGGUAAUCUUUUUAAAAUGCAUCGUGAUGGGGAUAGAUUAUUGCAAUUAUUAAUCUUCAACGAGGAUUGCCUAGUAGGCGCAAGUCAUCAGCUUGCGUCGAUUACGUCCCUGCCCUUUGUACACACCGCCCGUCGCUCCUACCGAUUGGGUGUGCUGGUGAAAUGUUCGGAUCGGCCGUUUGUCGCGGUUUCCGCGUCAUGUGGCUGAGAAGUUCAUUAAACCCUCCCACCUAGAGGAAGGAGAAGGCGUAACA